This 380-nucleotide ribosomal RNA is filed under the name uncultured eukaryote. RNAcentral describes it as "partial 18S ribosomal RNA". It matches the Rfam family "Eukaryotic small subunit ribosomal RNA", at positions 592 to 976 of the family's 1831-position model. The record is from RNAcentral.
CAAUAGCGUAUAUUAAAGUUGUUGCAGUUAAAAAGCUCGUAGUUGGAUUUGUGGCUUACGAUGUGUCCCCGGCACUUGUUGUCGUUGGUACUUGUCGUUGCCAUCCUUGGGUGGAAUCUGUGUGGCAUUAGGUUGUCGUGCAGGGGAUGCCUAUCGUUUACUGUGAAAAAAUUAGAGUGAUCAAAGCAGGCUUACGCCGUUGAAUAUAUUAGCAUGGAAUAACGAGAUAGGACCUUGGUACUAUUUUGUUGGUUUGCGCACCGAGGUAAUGAUUAAUAGGGACAGUUGGGGGUAUUCGUAUUCCAUUGUCAGAGGUGAAAUUCUUGGAUUUUUGGAAGACGAACUACUGCGAAAGCAUUUACCAAGGAUGUUUUCAUUAA